RNAcentral lists this ribosomal RNA (468 nucleotides) under uncultured bacterium. Its description in RNAcentral is "partial 16S ribosomal RNA". It matches the Rfam family "Bacterial small subunit ribosomal RNA", at positions 28 to 507 of the family's 1533-position model. The record is from RNAcentral.
GACGAACGCUGGCGGCGUGCUUAACACAUGCAAGUCGAACGGAAAGGCCCUGCUUUUGUGGGGUGCUCGAGUGGCGAACGGGUGAGCAACACGUGAGUAACCUGCCCUUGACUUUGGGAUAACUUCAGGAAACUGGGGCUAAUACCGGAUAGGAGCUCCUGCUGCAUGGUGGGGGUUGGAAAGUUUCGGCGGUUGGGGAUGGACUCGCGGCUUAUCAGCUUGUUGGUGGGGUAGUGGCUUACCAAGGCUUUGACGGGUAGCCGGCCUGAGAGGGUGACCGGCCACAUUGGGACUGAGAUACGGCCCAGACUCCUACGGGAGGCAGCAGGGGGGAAUAUUGCACAAUGGGCGGAAGCCUGAUGCAGCAACGCCGCGUGCGGGAUGACGGCCUUCGGGUUGUAAACCGCUUUCGCCUGUGACGAAGCGUGAGUGACGGUAAUGGGUAAAGAAGCACCGGCUAACUACGUG